RNAcentral lists this ribosomal RNA (194 nucleotides) under uncultured bacterium. RNAcentral's name for it is "partial 16S ribosomal RNA". It matches the Rfam family "Bacterial small subunit ribosomal RNA", at positions 326 to 539 of the family's 1533-position model. The record is from RNAcentral.
ACGCUCGACACCUACGGCAGCAGUGGGGAAUAUUGCACAAUGGGGGAAACCCUGAUGCAGCGACGCCGCGUGAAGGAAGAAGUAUCUCGGUAUGUAAACUUCUAUCAGCAGGGAAGAAAGUGACGGUACCUGACUAAGAAGCCCCGGCUAACUACGUGCCAUCAGCCGCGGUAAUCUGAGCGGGCUGGCAAGGC